AACGAACGCUGGCGGCAUGCCUAACACAUGCAAGUCGAACGAUGCCUUCGGGCAUAGUGGCGCACGGGUGCGUAACGCGUGGGAAUCUGCCCUUGGCUUCGGAAUAACAGUUAGAAAUGACUGCUAAUACCGGAUGAUGUCCCCCUGAGAGAUCUUGGGGACCAAAGAUUUAUCGGCCAGGGAUGAGCCCGCGUAGGAUUAGGUAGUUGGUGGGGUAAAGGCCUACCAAGCCGACGAUCCUUAGCUGGUCUGAGAGGAUGAUCAGCCACACUGGGACUGAGACACGGCCCAGACUCUUACGGGAGGCAGCAGUGGGGAAUAUUGGACAAUGGGGGGAACCCUGAUCCAGCAAUGCCGCGUGAGUGAUGAAGGCCUUAGGGUUGUAAAGCUCUUUUACCAGGGAUGAUAAUGACAGUACCUGGAGAAUAAGCUCCGGCUAACUCCGUG
RNAcentral lists this ribosomal RNA (447 nucleotides) under uncultured bacterium. RNAcentral's name for it is "partial 16S ribosomal RNA". It matches the Rfam family "Bacterial small subunit ribosomal RNA", at positions 29 to 507 of the family's 1533-position model. The record is from RNAcentral.